Xiphophorus maculatus (southern platyfish) is the source of this 371-nucleotide long non-coding RNA. RefSeq lists it as uncharacterized. The record is from RefSeq and is a predicted model, not a curated record. The transcript has 4 exons. Lineage: Eukaryota; Metazoa; Chordata; Actinopteri; Cyprinodontiformes; Poeciliidae.
GUUAGACCAACUGUGUGUUGGGCUCACGCUGUUUGCUGGCUGUGGACUGUAUUGUUGAUGGUGUUCAGCUGGUAGCGUUACCUGGGUGUUCGACGCCGCAGGGUUGCACCAGAUUGGAUACACCAAGAUUUGAUCUGGAAGCGUUGAUUUAUGCAAUGCAGUGUUUGCACUGCCUCCUGCUGUUCUUUUAGCGUUUGGUUUUUUCUUUUUUGUUAGUCCGCCCAGUUAGGAUCAUUUUUCUGCUUGCAGUACUUGUGAGGGCGGGCUAACAAUUUUUUCAUUCAUUUUGUUUGUUUUGUUUUUUGUUUAUUUUGUGGCACUUCCCUGAAUUUUUCCAUCCUGUUUGGUGUGAUCCUCAUGUUGGGCUGGCA